RNAcentral lists this ribosomal RNA (254 nucleotides) under uncultured bacterium. Its description in RNAcentral is "partial 16S ribosomal RNA". It matches the Rfam family "Bacterial small subunit ribosomal RNA", at positions 524 to 776 of the family's 1533-position model. The record is from RNAcentral.
UACGGAGGGGGCUAGCGUUGUUCGGAAUUACUGGGCGUAAAGCGCACGUAGGCGGCUUUGUAAGUUAGAGGUGAAAGCCCAGGGCUUAACCCUGGAAUUGCCUUUAAGACUGCAUCGCUAGAAUUGUGGAGAGGUGAGUGGAAUUUCCGAGUGUAGAGGUGAAAUUCGUAGAUAUUCGGAAGAACACCAGUGGCGAAGGCGACUCACUGGACACAUAUUGACGCUGAGGUGCGAAAGCGUGGGGAGCAAACAGG